GGGAUCCGAUUUUAGCAUGGAAUAAUAAAAUAGGACGUGUGGUUCUAUUUUGUUGGUUUCUAGGACCGCCGUAAUGAUUAAUAGGGACAGUCGGGGGCAUCAGUAUUCAAUUGUCAGAGGUGAAAUUCUUGGAUUUAUUGAAGACUAACUACUGCGAAAGCAUUUGCCAAGGAUGUUUUCAUUAAUCAGGAACGAAAGUUAGGGGAUCGAAGACGAUCAGAUACCGUCGUAGUCUUAACCAUAAACUAUGCCGACUAGGGAUCGGACGGUGUUAUUCUUUGACCCGUUCGGCACCUUACGAGAAAUCAAAGUGCUUGGGCUCCAGGGGGAGUAUGGUCGCAAGGCUGAAACUUAAAGAAAUUGACGGAAGGGCACCACCAGGGGUGGAACCUGCGGCUUAAUUUGACUCAACACGGGGAAACUCACCAGGUCCAGAAAUCUAGA
This 444-nucleotide ribosomal RNA is filed under the name uncultured fungus. RNAcentral describes it as "SSU rRNA". It matches the Rfam family "Eukaryotic small subunit ribosomal RNA", at positions 793 to 1236 of the family's 1831-position model. The record is from RNAcentral. Lineage: Eukaryota; Fungi.